Molecule: long non-coding RNA, 2578 nt
Filed under: Homo sapiens (human)
Lineage: Eukaryota; Metazoa; Chordata; Mammalia; Primates; Hominidae
Description: HSALNT0017807
Source: RNAcentral
GCGCGCUCCUGAUGUCGGAGGCGCCCACUCUGCCGGGCGGCGGCGGCGCACACGCGCGUGCACGUCGCUGCGUGGCCGCGGUUGCGCCGGGAGCGGAGGAGUGAGGUCCUGACAGAACCAGAGCUGUUAGAGCAGGGACGCGCGAAAGGCGGGAGUACGGGCGGCGCUGGAGAACCUCCGCGGCGGAGGGGCCUGGGGGUGGGACCGCGCCCGCGAGCCCGCCCUGACCGGGGUGUCUGUGUGCUUGUGAAGCGCUCCCUUGUUAGUUCCUUCUGUGAGACUCGGGGGAGACUGAAGAGGGAAAUCACCUGCGGGGAAUGAACAGGAAAGCAAUAAGAAGAUUUGGAAAAGAGGCACUGGCUACUGGAGGAAGGGAGAAAUCACCGAGAGAGCGAAAGAUGUAACAGAAACAGGCUCUUGUUCUGUCACCCAUACUUGGAGUGCAGUGGUACAAUGAUAGCUCACUGCAGCCUCAAACUCCUGGUCUCAAGCAAUCCUCUCACCUCAGCCUCCCAGAUGCAGUGACUCAUGCCUAUAAUCCCAGUACUUUGGAAGGUCAAGGCACAAGGAUCCAUUGAGGCCAGGAGUCCAAGACCAGCCUGCACAAUGUAGCAAGACUCCUUCUCUACAAAAAAAUAAAUAAAAAUUAGCCAGGCAUGGUGGUGCACUCCUGUAGUCCCAGCUACUCAAGAGGCUGAUGUAGAGAAUCGCAUUAUCCCAGAGGUCAAGGCUGCAGUGAGCCGUGAUCAUGCCUCUGCACUCCAGCCUGGACGAUAGAGCAAGACUUUAUCUCAAAAAACAAAAAUUUAAAAAGAUAUCAGGUAGCUCAUAGAAUUGUUGAGAGGGCUGUAAAACCAGGCUUGAACUUAAACAGCAACGAUAAACCACCCACAGAACGGACAUGAUGAAGAAGUUGGCAAAUGUUACCAACUGUCCUGGUUUUUUUGGUGACUGUAGUUUCCAAGGAUUCAGAUCCUUCCAUGCCAAAAUCUGAAAAAUGCUGGGCAAAGUAUGACUGACAAUGUGGUAAUCUUACAGCUAGCACUAGAGACAUCAAGCACUAGACAACACAAUUUGCCCUUUGGCCACUUAUACAAUGGGAACUCACGCUUGCAGUAACCUCUAUUGCCACUAGGAGAGAGAAACACAGAAGGAGGAAGGGAGAAGGGAGAGAGAGGAAAAAAACUGUUGCUUGUCUCCUUAGCUGUGAGUCAAAGGUCUAACACAGAUGUCUGGCUGAAAAGCCUAGGUCACAUGCCUGCACCCCAGAGAAAGUAUGUGACAUCUUCUGCUUCCAUUAUGGGAAACAGCCUUUGCUUGUCACGAAGAUUUACAUGGUGAGACAUAUCCUAAAUAUAGGGAAGCUGUUGAAGUGGCCCAAAUAAUGACCAAUUUCUACUAAUUUGUACUAAUAUCCAAAUUACUUUUAAUUAUCUAAUAUUACUUAGAUACAGUGAGGCAACCAUUCGUUGGAUAUAUAAUGGUUUCUUUGAUUUCAAAAAUCUUUUUUUAUGUAAUAUAUGUCUGAAGACCAUCAAAAUAAAUUCUUAAAGUCAGAUUAAUAGGAUGUUACUUAUAAUAUUAUUGUAAUUAUUUGACCACAUAAUAGUUUAUGCCCAUUAUAUACUAUGUAAUUGUAUGAUGGAAAUAAUGCUGUACUUUGUUUGUAAAAGUUUAAUUAUCCUGACCUUUGUUCAUCAUAAAGAAUUGCUCCAUUUCUAUUAUUUAUCGAGGAAAAAAGUUUCUCUCUUUUUGUUUUUAAUAUGUCAUUAGGAGAAGAGUAGUUACACGUAGGCUAGAGUGUUUGCCAAGAAGAAAUUGAUUUUAAUGGGAACCUUUUAUCUAAGACAAACUUUAAGAAGAGCAGUAAUGGACAAUGUGUUCUGUGCAACUCUUCAGCCUUCAGUCUCACAUUCAUUGUGGUCAAGUAUUUUCAGCAAAGAAUAACAAGUCAGAGUUUGUGUAUAUUUUUCAUAGCUGUUCAUUCUCUUACAGAGUAACCUUGAACAAACCUCUUAAGAUUUGUGUUUUAUCUUCAUAUACUGAAAUACAAAAUGGGAAUGCCUAUAUUUAAUCAAAGAUAUAAUUUUUACUGAUAGAUAGUAAAGAACAAAACACUGGAACAAGAAUUCCUGUCCUGCCUUUCACAAUGUGGUUUUGAGGCCUUGGCCAUGUCACUUAAAUUCUCAUAUCUGUUUUCUCAAUCUAUAAAUGAUCAUAAUACCUGCACUAUCUGUCUCAAAUUGCAUAUGUGAAAGCAUCUUAAAGGUACAAAACAAUAAAUACAAAGCAUUAUUAUUAAAUUAUUACACCUUCCAGCAUUUAAUGCUAAAAAUGCCAAAUGCGUCCUUUGGUUAUAUGUAGGAAAUAUGUCUCAGAAAAAUCAAUUUAAAAUUAUAGAAGCUAACAGGUAAGUCAUUUUAAGUGUGUGGUUAUCUUCUGCAUGGCAGAUUUUUAAAUGGUAAUUAUUAAUGAAGUUUUCCUAUACUUACUGUUUCCAAGACUCCAUUCUUUCCAAAGUUUUCUGAGUUAUGCUUAUCAUCCCUUAAGUCUUAGGGAUGCUCUUCUGAGCUUUUGG